UACGAAGGGGGCUAGCGUUGUUCGGAAUUACUGGGCGGAAAGCGCACGUAGGCGGACUAUUAAGUCAGGGGUGAAAUCCCGGGGCUCAACCCCGGAACUGCCUUUGAUACUGGUAGUCUCGAGUCCGGAAGAGGUGAGUGGAAUUCCGAGUGUAGAGGUGAAAUUCGUAGAUAUUCGGAGGAACACCAGUGGCGAAGGCGGCUCACUGGCCCGAUACUGACGCUGAGGCACGAAAGCGUGGGGAGCAAACAGG
Molecule: ribosomal RNA, 253 nt
Filed under: uncultured bacterium
Lineage: Bacteria
Description: partial 16S ribosomal RNA
Rfam family: Bacterial small subunit ribosomal RNA
Source: RNAcentral